Molecule: ribosomal RNA, 440 nt
Filed under: uncultured bacterium
Lineage: Bacteria
Description: partial 16S ribosomal RNA
Rfam family: Bacterial small subunit ribosomal RNA
Source: RNAcentral
CCUACGGGUGGCAGCAGUGGGGAAUAUUGCACAAUGGGGGAAACCCUGAUGCAGCGACGCCGCGUGAGUGAAGAAGUAUCUCGGUACGUAAAGCUCUAUCAGCAGGGAAGAAAAUGACGCUACCUGACUAAGAAGCUCCGGCUACCUACGUGCCAGCAGCCGCGGUAAUACGUAGGGGGCAAGCGUUAUCCGGAUUUACUGGGCGUAAAGGGAGCGUAGACGGGAGCUCAAGACUGGCGUGCGAUCCCGGGGCUUAACCCCGGAACUGCAUUUGAAACGGUGAGGCUGGAGUGCAGGAGGGGAGAGCAGAAUUCGUGGUGUAGCGGUGAAAUGCGUAGAGAUUAGGAGGAACACCGGUGGCGAAGGCGGCUUACUGGACUGUAACUGACGUUGAGGCUCGAAAGCGUGGGGAGCAAACAGGAUUAGAUACCCUUGUGGUC